GUGUCAGCCGCCGCGGUAAUACGUAGGUGGCAAGCGUUGUCCGGAAUUAUUGGGCGUAAAGCGCGCGCAGGCGGAUCUGUAAGUCUGUCUUAAAAGUUCGGGGCUCAACCCCGUGAGGGGAUAGAAACUGCAGAUCUUGAGUAUCGGAGAGGAAAGUGGAAUUCCUAGUGUAGCGGUGAAAUGCGUAGAGAUUAGGAAGAACACCAGUGGCGAAGGCGACUUUCUGGACGAACACUGACGCUGAGGCGCGAAAGCCAGGGGAGCGAACGGGAUUAGAUACCCCGGUAGUCCUGGCCGUAAACGAUGGGUACUAAGUGUAGGAGGUAUCGACCCCUUCUGUGCUGCAGUUAACGCAAUAAGUACCCCGCCUGGGGAGUACGACCGCAAGGUUGAAACUCAAAUGAAUUGGCGG
RNAcentral lists this ribosomal RNA (412 nucleotides) under uncultured bacterium. RNAcentral describes it as "bacterial SSU rRNA". It matches the Rfam family "Bacterial small subunit ribosomal RNA", at positions 505 to 916 of the family's 1533-position model. The record is from RNAcentral.